ACAAAUGAGGAAAUACAUGUUGGCUCAACAUAAUGGUUGUGUCAAAAAAGAAAAAUAUGUUUGGUCAAUGAUUGCAUGAUUUCUAUGAAUGUACUAAAAAAUGUUCAUCAAGGGAAAAUAAAUAAUUGUGUUGAGAGAACUUUUAACGUUGCACAAAAAAUAUUAUGUUGGCCGAGCAAGAGGGAACAGCGUCAAUCGUCUGAGCAUGCGCAAAGGAGUUCUAGCAGGCUGGAGUUUCCCUCACCACGAGUCACGACAUUGCACUGGUUUGUGCUUAAUUCUUCCGCAUCUACCGUAUUGACCUGAAGUUAGCCAUUCCUGACAUCGCUGGACAAUCACACCCAGGGGUUGCUAAAGAUGUACAGAGCCAAAGCAAGAUAGGGAAGGUGGAACAACUUGGAUGAACUUCUGGAACAACUGGAUGCCCAGACCACAGAUCUAACUACUCAUUGAAGGUCUGCUGUUCUUCGUGGUCUUCCCCUGCACUUGAGAGAGCCAGCUUCAAUUUCAAAGACUAUUAAGGAUACUGAGGCACUGGGGCUACACACAAACGCCAUGAAAAUGGGAAUCCUGGAAGUGACUGACAGUUCUACCAACUCAGGACCAUAUCCCACAGUGGUCAAUGUGGCUGUAGUACUGGAGGAGGAAGUUGUCAUGGACAAUCUGGGAGACUUCACAAAUGCCCUCAUGAUGCUUGUUUUGGCACUGUUUGAAUACCUGUGUAAUAUUUUACUUGAGCCUAACAGGCAAGUUCAUAUGUAUUUAAAUAAAUACGUAAAAUGUUCUUUAUCAAAGCAUAGUGUGUAAUUUAUUUGAAAUAAUGAAAAAUAGACAAUUUUGACCAAGAUUAAAUAUUUAAUACAACAUUUUAUUUCAAUUUGAGUCUGCUUGUUGGCCCAACAAGCUAUGUUUAGUCAACAGAAAAUAUUUAAUUGACACAACAUUCUAUUUCAAGUUCAGUCUACAUGCAGGGGUAGUCAGCACAACACAAAAAAGUUGGUUUCCGCAACUUAAAUUGGGCCAACUAAAAAUUUUAGGUGCAACGGGUCACUAGAAAUUUUUAUGUUGGAGAGGCCUAUUUUUUUUUAC
Molecule: long non-coding RNA, 1089 nt
Organism: Carassius gibelio (silver crucian carp)
Lineage: Eukaryota; Metazoa; Chordata; Actinopteri; Cypriniformes; Cyprinidae
Exons: 4
Source: RefSeq, a predicted model, not a curated record